This 1272-nucleotide long non-coding RNA is filed under the name Medicago truncatula (barrel medic). RNAcentral describes it as "long non-coding RNA (MTRU_LNC003062)". Lineage: Eukaryota; Viridiplantae; Streptophyta; Magnoliopsida; Fabales; Fabaceae. The record is from RNAcentral.
AAUAAAUGACUUAGCAUCUUUACCAUCAUCGACAUAACUCUGAUACUGCCUAUAUAUCUCUCAAGAGUGUUUUAAAGAUUGCUACACAUCUUAAUGCAGCACCACUAUUGAUAGGAGCAAUGUUGGAGUCUUUUGAAUCAGGAUCAACUAGGUGGCUCAAAGCUUGUAAGCUUAGGUGGCUUAGCAUAUGCUGGGUUAACAUUGAAACGGUCAGAGUAAACAAGUUGAGUUAGAAUUUCAGCAUAAUAGGUCUAACUAUACUUGAUCCUGGUGGCCUUCUUCUUAGAAGUUCAACCAACACCUCUGCCUUUGGAGGUUGGAGUCUUUAAGAUCAUAAACCAAUAUCGAGUCCGAGGAUGGGUCAUUUACAUACAAUUUUGUACCAAUAACCUCUUAUGUCCAUGACUUUAUGUUAUUUCGUUAUUUUACACGUUGAACUAUGUUUACUUAAUUUUUUUUCUAAUGCUAUUCAUCAUGAGAACCCUCCAAAGAAGGUAUUGAAACACAGUCUCGAACAAUUCGAAUUAUAUAAUCCGAACGGUUAUUGAGAUUUUCGGCAUAUAUAUUCUGAGCCAUCCCAGAUUAUGGAUGAUGGCAUUACACCAAAGGUUUUGACGGUUUGUGGUGUGUUUAAUGUAUUUUUGGUCGGUUUAGGCAUCGUAAACGUAUCCUUUGAAUGUAGUUACAGUCUAGGAUAAUUUUAUGGCUAUAAAUAGUCUUGCAUGUUAUAACAUAUUAAUUCAUUCUUCACUUCUCAUCCUUUCUUACUUUUUCUAUCUCUUUUUUCAGUUAUGAGUGUUUAUGAUAUCAUGAUCGUUGCGAACCAUACGACGGUCAACAUGGACCUUUGAUAUCGAUUACGAGAUAUUUUCGUUGUUUUGCUAGGUUUCAAAUUAUAUAAUGAAAACCCCCCUACAAUCUCCUUCGGAUUUCAUAAUUAGAAAAGAGGGGGUUUUAAUAAUAUAAUAUUUAAUGUUUUUUUUUAAGUUCAAUAUUUUUUUUAGGGAACAAUACUUUAGUUUUUAUCAGGCCUAAUUUGUAAGAUUAAAAUUGAGUUUUACUUUUCCCAUCCUAUGCCUUUCCUUGCGCGCCCUAUUUUUUUCCAAAAUUAUCCUCAUACAUUCUAGAUUAUAUAAUUCAGAUUGCACCAGUACACAUAACUGAAAUAGAUUUGCAUGUCAUUGUCGUUUUUAUCAUUGUGUUUCAAAGUGUCUUUUAGCAACCCACACCUUAAGGUGUGAUUUCCACUUUUUAGUAUAACUUUGGUAAAAG